AAUGAACGCUGGCGGCGUGCCUAACACAUGCAAGUCGAGCGAACAGACCAGGAGCUUGCUCCUUUGACGGUAGCGGCGGACGGGUGAGUAACACGUAGCUAACCUCCCUAUAAGACUGGCAUAACUCCGGGAAACCGGAUCCAAUGCCGGAUAAUACGUUGAACCGCACGGUUCUAAAGUGAAAGGCGCCUUUGCCGUCACUUAUAGAUGGACCCGCGCCGUAUUAGCUAGUUGGUGAGGUAACGGCUCACCAAGGCAACGAUACGUAUCCGACCUGAGAGGGUGAUCGGCCACACUGGACCUGAGACACGGUCCAGCCUCCUACGGGAGGCGGCAGUGGGGAAUCUUCGGCAAUGGGCGAAAGCCUGCCGGAGCAACGCCGCGUGAGCGAUGAAGGUUUUCGGUUCGUAAAACUUGGUGAUUAGGGAGGACCAUAUGCGUAAGUAACUGUGCGCGUCUUGACGGUACCUAAUCAGAAAGCCACGGCUAACUACGUG
This 497-nucleotide ribosomal RNA is filed under the name uncultured bacterium. Its description in RNAcentral is "partial 16S ribosomal RNA". It matches the Rfam family "Bacterial small subunit ribosomal RNA", at positions 29 to 507 of the family's 1533-position model. The record is from RNAcentral.